RNAcentral lists this long non-coding RNA (207 nucleotides) under Gossypium barbadense (sea-island cotton). Its description in RNAcentral is "long non-coding RNA (GBAR_LNC022484)". The record is from RNAcentral. Lineage: Eukaryota; Viridiplantae; Streptophyta; Magnoliopsida; Malvales; Malvaceae.
CUCUGUCAAAGUUUAACUUCCAACUGCGAUCCAUUUGGGAAUCCUCUUCAAUGGUUGCCACAUACAUCAAGUCCUUGUUCGGGAAAUCAAAAUUCAAAGGCUCGUAAUCCUCCAAGGCUCUACUAGCUAGAAAAUCCGCUAUUACACUCCCUUUCACGGCCUUCUGGCUUACUUAAACUAUAUCAAAUUCAGAAAGCAAGAUCUCUC